UAUCAGUUUGUUGGUGAGGUAAUGGCCCACCAAGACUAUUACAGGUACGGGCUCUGAGAGGAGUAGCCCGGAGAUGGGUACUGAGACACGGACCCAGGCCCUAUGGGGCGCAGCAGGCGAGAAAACUUUGCAAUGUGCGAAAGCACGACAAGGUUAAUCCGAGUGGUUUCUGCUAAAGAAACCUUUUGUCAGUCCUAGAAACACUGAUGAAUAAGGGGUGGGCAAGUUCUGGUGUCAGCCGCCGCGGUAAAACCAGCACCUCAAGUGGUCAGGAUGAUUAUUGGGCCUAAAGCAUCCGUAGCCGGCUCUGUAAGUUUUCGGUUAAAUCUGUACGCUCAACGUACAGGCUGCCGGGAAUACUGCAAAGCUAGGGAGUGGGAGAGGUAGACGGUACUCGGUAGGAAGGGGUAAAAUCCUUUGAUCUAUUGAUGACCACCUGUGGCGAAGGCGGUCUACCAGAACACGUCCGACGGUGAGGGAUGAAAGCUGGGGGAGCAAACCGGAUUAGAUACCCGGGUAGUCCCAGCUGUAAACUAUGCAAACUCAGUGAUGCAUUGGCUUGUGGCCAAUGCAGUGCUGCAGGGAAGCCGUUAAGUUUGCCGCCUGGGAAGUACGUACGCAAGUAUGAAACUUAAAGGAAUUGGCGGGGGAGCACCACAAGGGGUGAAGCCUGCGGUUCAAUUGGAGUCAACGCCGGG
Molecule: ribosomal RNA, 698 nt
Filed under: uncultured Nitrososphaerota archaeon
Lineage: Archaea; Thermoproteati; Nitrososphaerota
Description: bacterial SSU rRNA
Rfam family: Archaeal small subunit ribosomal RNA
Source: RNAcentral